CCUACGGGAGGCAGCAGUGGGGAAUAUUGGGCAAUGGGCGCAAGCCUGACCCAGCAACGCCGCGUGAAGGAUGAAGGCUCUCGGGUUUUUAACUUCUUUUUUUAGGGACGAAACCAGUGACGGUACCUGCUUAUUAAGCCACGGCUAACUACGUGCCAGCAGCCGCGGUAAUACGGAGGUCGCAAGCGUUAUCCGGAUUUACUGGGUGUAAAGGGUGUGUAGGCGGGCUUGCAAGUCAGUUGUGAACUUCCAGGGCUCAACCCUGGAACUGCAGUUGACACUGUAGGUCUUGAGUGCUGGGGAGGCAAUCGGAAUUCGGGGUGUAGCGGUGAAAUGCGUAGAUAUACGGAAGAACACCAGUUGCGAAGGCGGAUUGCUGGACAGUAACUGACGCUGAGGCGCGAAAGCGUGGGGAGCGAACAGGAUUAGAUACCCGUGUAGUC
This 443-nucleotide ribosomal RNA is filed under the name uncultured bacterium. RNAcentral's name for it is "partial 16S ribosomal RNA". It matches the Rfam family "Bacterial small subunit ribosomal RNA", at positions 338 to 795 of the family's 1533-position model. The record is from RNAcentral.